RNAcentral lists this ribosomal RNA (402 nucleotides) under uncultured bacterium. RNAcentral's name for it is "bacterial SSU rRNA". It matches the Rfam family "Bacterial small subunit ribosomal RNA", at positions 32 to 424 of the family's 1533-position model. The record is from RNAcentral.
AAUCAACGCUGGCGGCGUGCCUCAGACAUGCAAGUCGAACGAUUAAAGCUCUCUUCGGAGAGUGCAUAGAGUGGCGCACGGGUGAGUAACACGUAAGUAAUCUACCUUCGAGUGGGGAAUAACGUCCGGAAACGGACGCUAAUACCGCAUAAUGCAGCGGCAUCGCAAGAUGACAGUUGUUAAAGGAGCAAUUCGCUUGAAGAGGAGCUUGCGGCAGAUUAGCUUGUUGGUAAGGUAACGGCUUACCAAGGCUACGAUCUGUAACCGGUCUAAGAGGACGGUCGGUCACACUGACACUGAAUAACGGGUCAGACUCCUACGGGAGGCAGCAGUCGGGAAUUUUGGGCAAUGGGGGAAACCCUGACCCAGCAACGCCGCGUGAAGGAUGAAGUAUUUCGGUAU